GGUCAGGGUUUAGAACGAGAUAGGCCGUCAGUGCCGGGGAAGAUGGUGCAAUUCCAUCACGGUGCCGCCACUGUAAGCGGGGAGUGACUCUGCCACAUGCCACUGUGCGUUUCACCGCACGGGAAGGCGCAGGGAAACGAUGAUCCGCAAGUCAGGAGACCCAACGGACGGGAAACAUUCACA
This 183-nucleotide non-coding RNA is filed under the name Candidatus Nitrospira nitrosa. Lineage: Bacteria; Pseudomonadati; Nitrospirota; Nitrospiria; Nitrospirales; Nitrospiraceae. The record is from RNAcentral.